Molecule: ribosomal RNA, 525 nt
Filed under: uncultured bacterium
Lineage: Bacteria
Description: partial 16S ribosomal RNA
Rfam family: Bacterial small subunit ribosomal RNA
Source: RNAcentral
UGGGGAAUUUUGGACAAUGGGCGAAAGCCUGAUCCAGCAAUGCCGCGUGUGUGAAGAAGGCCUUCGGGUUGUAAAGCACUUUUGUCCGGAAAGAAAUCCUUGGCUCUAAUACAGUCGGGGGAUGACGGUACCGGAAGAAUAAGCACCGGCUAACUACGUGCCAGCAGCCGCGGUAAUACGUAGGGUGCAAGCGUUAAUCGGAAUUACUGGGCGUAAAGCGUGCGCAGGCGGUUUGCUAAGACCGAUGUGAAAUCCCCGGGCUCAACCUGGGAACUGCAUUGGUGACUGGCAGGCUAGAGUAUGGCAGAGGGGGGUAGAAUUCCACGUGUAGCAGUGAAAUGCGUAGAGAUGUGGAGGAAUACCGAUGGCGAAGGCAGCCCCCUGGCAAGUACUGACGCUCAUGCACGAAAGCGUGGGGAGCAAACAGGAUUAGAUACCCUGGUAGUCCACGCCCUAAANGAUGUCAACUAGUUGUUGGGGAUUCAUUUCCUUAGUAACGUAGCUAACGCGUGAAGUUGACCGCCU